UUACUAAACAAAAAUGAAAUAUGUCUCUCAGACAUUCAGGGUUGUCUCUGAGAUAUCUAAAAGAAUAUCCUUGGGAUAUCCAGAAACUAAAUAUAACAGACAUCUAAACGAUGUGAGAGAGAUACCAAUGUUUAACUUGGGAUAUCCCUUGGAUAACUGUGGUAGGUCUUAGAUAUCUGUCAAAUGUGUCUUAGAUAUGCAGCAGACAUCAAUAUCCAAAUAUCUGCUAGACAUCACACAGAUGCGACCCCUGGAUUUCUGUUGGAUAUUUCAUGGAUAUUCAGACGUCUUGGGGAUCUCUGAUGGAUAUGGCAAUAUCCAGUUUUUUUAUCCAAGAGAUCUCUAAGAUGUGUUGUGGAUAUUUGUGGCUGUGUGGAUUCAAGUGAAACACGCCAAAUCUUAAAAGUAGCCUAACUUAAGACGGGGAUUUUGUUACUCGUUUCACCCUCGAGCUUAUGAUGACGUAGGAUCUGUUUAUCCAAUGAGAUUGCUUAAAAAAAAUAACAAUUUAAUACUUAGAAAGCUACAAGCAAACUUUUUAUAUAGUAUAAGAUUACAUAUUACUUACACAUCCCAAAUAAACUUGAACAUCUCAAAACGUGUUUCUGCUGUUAAGGUUAUUUUGAAGCAUUGAAAAUGAGCUCCCAAAAACGACGAGCACCGAAUUUUUCUCAAGAAGAGAUUGUUUCGAUUAUCGAAGAAUUAGAAGGAAAACGUGAAUUGAUUUCGGGGCAAUUACGCCGCUGCUACAAAACAACGAAAGAUAUUAAAAACGCGUGGGGUGAGAUCGCUGGUGCUCUAAACAGCGUGAGUACCAGUGGUUACAUUCGUUCUGGGGAGGAAAUUAAAAAAAAAGUGGAAAGAUUUAAAAUCUUUCGCAAAAACAAAAGCUGCUAUGAUCCAACAGUACAAUAACGGCACAGGAGGAGGUCCUCCUAAUGGGGAGUUCUUAAAUGAUCUUGAAUUAAGAGUAAUUGUUCUGUUGGGGCAGACAACAAUACAAGGAGUCGGUUUCGACAGUGCUAGAGAAUUUUAAGCAAAGCCCGUGGAAAGAGCAUCAAUUGAUGUGGCUGGCACAUCUAGCGACUAUGAUAAUAAUGUAGACGGCAGUAGAGAGCAUGAUUUAGAAGAUGUAGAGAAUUUUUCUGAUUACCCUAAUAUACCUCUUUCAAACAGUUUUGAUUUAAAUCAGGAAAACUGGGCCCAAUCUAGAAUUAAAAGCAGCACUCCCAGAGUCAUCCAGCACCGGCAACGGAAAAGAAAGCUGCAGGAAGUGCAGGAUGAUGAGAUGUUAAAAAAAUGACAUAAAAUUUCAAUCGGAAAAUAACCAGCAGUUAGAAAGAAUAAACAAAUACUUGGAGAAAAUGCAAAAUGAACUGAAUCUCAAAAAUGUUUUACAACUAAAAAAGUUGCAGCUAUUAUGUAAGGUGUACACAACAUAGAUCAAGAUUCAUUGAAUUUAAGUGUUGAGAAAUAAUAA
Long non-coding RNA from Parasteatoda tepidariorum (common house spider), 1480 nucleotides. The record is from RefSeq and is a predicted model, not a curated record. Lineage: Eukaryota; Metazoa; Arthropoda; Arachnida; Araneae; Theridiidae.